This 75-nucleotide transfer RNA is filed under the name Bacillota bacterium. Its description in RNAcentral is "Firmicutes bacterium (anaerobic digester metagenome) tRNA-Gly". It matches the Rfam family "tRNA". From Rfam's summary of the family: Transfer RNA (tRNA) molecules are approximately 80 nucleotides in length. Their secondary structure includes four short double-helical elements and three loops (D, anti-codon, and T loops). RNAcentral also lists the same sequence under 2 other names. The record is from RNAcentral. Lineage: Bacteria; Bacillati; Bacillota.
GCGGAUGUGGCUCAAUGGUAGAGCAUCGGCUUCCCAAGCCGAGGGUUGCGAGUUCGAAUCUCGUCGUCCGCUCCA